This 279-nucleotide ribosomal RNA is filed under the name uncultured bacterium. RNAcentral's name for it is "partial 16S ribosomal RNA". It matches the Rfam family "Bacterial small subunit ribosomal RNA", at positions 506 to 784 of the family's 1533-position model. The record is from RNAcentral.
UGCCAGCAGCCGCGGUAAGACGAACCGGACGAACGUUAUUCGGAAUCACUGGGCUUAAAGAGUGCGUAGGCGGCUUUGUAGGUUGGGUGUGAAAUCCCACAGCUCAACUGUGGAACUGCGCUCAAAACCACAAGGCUUGAGGAAGGUAGAGGUAGGCGGAACAGAUGGUGGAGCGGUGAAAUGCGUUGAUAUCAUCUGGAACACCGGUGGCGAAGGCGGCUUACUGGGCCUUUUCUGACGCUGAGGCACGAAAGCUAGGGUAGCGAACGGGAUUAGAUA